RNAcentral lists this ribosomal RNA (497 nucleotides) under uncultured bacterium. RNAcentral's name for it is "partial 16S ribosomal RNA". It matches the Rfam family "Bacterial small subunit ribosomal RNA", at positions 28 to 507 of the family's 1533-position model. The record is from RNAcentral.
GAUGAACGCUGGCGGCGUGCCUAAUACAUGCCAGUCGAGCGAACGGACGAGAAUCUUGCUUCUCUGAUGUUAGCGGCGGACGGAAGAGUAACACGUGGAUAACCUACCUAUAAGACUGGGAUAACUUCGGGAAACCGGAGCUAAUAACGGAUAAUUUUUUGAACCGCAGGGUUCAAAAGUGAAAGACGGUCUUGCUGUCACUUAUAGAUGGAUCCGCGCUGCUUUAGCUAGUUGGUACGGUAACGGGCUACCAAGGCAACUAUGCAGAGCCGACCUGACAGAGUGGUAGCCCGCACUGGAAGUGAGACAGGGUCCCGACUCCUGCGGGACGGACCAGUAGCGAAUCUUCCGCAAUGGGCGAGAGCCUGACGGAGCGGCGCCGCGUGAGUUAUGAAGGUGUUCGGAUCGUAAAACUGUGUUAUUAGGGAUGAACAGAUGUGUACGUAACUGUGCCCAUCUUGACGGUACCUAAUGAGAAAGCCCCGGCUAACUACGUG